Molecule: ribosomal RNA, 242 nt
Filed under: uncultured bacterium
Lineage: Bacteria
Description: partial 16S ribosomal RNA
Rfam family: Bacterial small subunit ribosomal RNA
Source: RNAcentral
UGAGCAACCUGCCCCGAAGACCGGGAUAACCCGAGGAAACUCGAGCUAAUACCGGAUGUCCUCACCCGACCGCAUGGACGGACGAGGAAAUGGUCAGCCGCUUCGGGAUGGGCUCGCGGUCUAUCAGCUUUGGUUGGUGGGGUAACGGCCUACCAAGGCGACGACGGAUAGCUGGUCUGAGAGGACGAUCAGCCACACGUGGGACUGAGACACGGCCCAGACCUCCGUACGGGNGCAGCGAG